This is a non-coding RNA of Actinobacteria bacterium IMCC26256, 355 nucleotides long. It matches the Rfam family "transfer-messenger RNA". From Rfam's summary of the family: Bacterial tmRNA, also known as 10Sa RNA or SsrA, is named for its dual tRNA and mRNA-like properties. Its role is to liberate the mRNA from a stalled ribosome. To accomplish this part of the tmRNA is used as a reading frame that ends in a translation stop signal. Lineage: Bacteria; Bacillati; Actinomycetota; Actinomycetes. The record is from Rfam.
GGGGGUGCGUGGCUUCGAUCUCGAGGAUCGAGGUGGGUGAAGCGAGCCGAGGUCGUCAGAUCCUCGUUAAAGAGCUGGCAAAAAUAAACACAUGCCGAGGACAACCUCGCACUAGCUGCCUAAGAAAUUAGUUAGCUCGUCUCUAACGGCCCCGCCAUUCGGCCGCCUUGGGACGUCAUCUUGAGUGGCUUACCGUCUAGUUGCGCCUCAGGGCUGGACGGAACAUCUAAUGAGGCUGGGGUUACUGCAGUGCCGCCGGUGAGCGGUGGUGGCCCGAGAUCAAUCACCGGCUCCGCUCGGAGAAGCCCCACCAACAGCUCGGGAGACGCGGGUUCGACCCCCGCCACCUCCACCG